ACGCUGGCGGCGUGCCUAAUACAUGCAAGUAGAACGCUGAAGAGAGGAGCUUGCUCUUCUUGGAUGAGUUGCGAACGGGUGAGUAACGCGUAGGUAACCUGCCUUGUAGCGGGGGAUAACUAUUGGAAACGAUAGCUAAUACCGCAUAACAAUGGAUGACACAUGUCAUUUAUUUGAAAGGGGCAAUUGCUCCACUACAAGAUGGACCUGUGUUGUAUUAGCUAGUAGGUGAGGUAACGGCUCACCUAGGCGACGAUACAUAGCCGACCUGAGAGGGUGAUCGGCCACACUGGGACUGAGACACGGCCCAGACUCCUACGGGAGGCAGCAGUAGGGAAUCUUCGGCAAUGGGGGCAACCCUGACCGAGCAACGCCGCGUGAGUGAAGAAGGUUUUCGGAUCGUAAAGCUCUGUUGUAAGUCAAGAACGAGUGUGAGAGUGGAAAGUUCACACUGUGACGGUAGCUUACCAGAAAGGGACGGCUAACUACGUGCCAGCAGCCGCGGUAAUACGUAGGUCCCGAGCGUUGUCCGGAUUUAUUGGGCGUAAAGCGAGCGCAGGCGGUUUGAUAAGUCUGAAGUUAAAGGCUGUGGCUCAACCAUAGUUCGCUUUGGAAACUGUCAAACUUGAGUGCAGAAGGGGAGAGUGGAAUUCCAUGUGUAGCGGUGAAAUGCGUAGAUAUAUGGAGGAACACCGGUGGCGAAAGCGGCUCUCUGGUCUGUAACUGACGCUGAGGCUCGAAAGCGUGGGGAGCGAACAGGAUUAGAUACCCUGGUAGUCCACGCCGUAAACGAUGAGUGCUAGGUGUUGGAUCCUUUCCGGGAUUCAGUGCCGCAGCUAACGCAUUAAGCACUCCGCCUGGGGAGUACGACCGCAAGGUUGAAACUCAAAGGAAUUGACGGGGGCCCGCACAAGCGGUGGAGCAU
Molecule: ribosomal RNA, 925 nt
Filed under: uncultured bacterium
Lineage: Bacteria
Description: bacterial SSU rRNA
Rfam family: Bacterial small subunit ribosomal RNA
Source: RNAcentral